CCUACGGGAGGCAGCAGUGAGGAAUAUUGGUCAAUGGGCGAGAGCCUGAACCAGCCAAGUCGCGUGAGGGAGUACUGCCCUAUGGGUUGUAAACCUCUUUUGUCGGGGAGCAAAAGCCGGACGUGUCCGGCUGUGAGAGUACCCGAAGAAAAAGCAUAGGCUAACUCCGUGCCAGCAGCGGCGGUAAUACGGAGGAUGCGAGCGUUAUCCGGAUUUAUUGGGUUUAAAGGGUGCGCAGGCGGAUUUUUAAGUCAGCGGUCAAAUCGUGGGGGUCAACCCCAAACAGUCGUUGAAACUGGGGGUCUUGAGUGUGCUAGAGGUGUGCGGAAUUCGUGGUGUAGCGGUGAAAUGCAUAGAUAUCACGCAGAACCCCGAUUGCGAAGGCAGCAUACCGGUGCACAACUGACGCUCAGGCACGAAAGUGUGGGUAUCGAACAGGAUUAGAUACCCCGGUAGUC
This 458-nucleotide ribosomal RNA is filed under the name uncultured bacterium. RNAcentral's name for it is "partial 16S ribosomal RNA". It matches the Rfam family "Bacterial small subunit ribosomal RNA", at positions 338 to 795 of the family's 1533-position model. The record is from RNAcentral.